This 118-nucleotide ribosomal RNA is filed under the name Chrysomyxa arctostaphyli. RNAcentral's name for it is "partial 5.8S ribosomal RNA". It matches the Rfam family "5.8S ribosomal RNA", at positions 41 to 154 of the family's 154-position model. From Rfam's summary of the family: 5.8S ribosomal RNA (5.8S rRNA) is a component of the large subunit of the eukaryotic ribosome. It is transcribed by RNA polymerase I as part of the 45S precursor that also contains 18S and 28S rRNA. Lineage: Eukaryota; Fungi; Basidiomycota; Pucciniomycetes; Pucciniales; Coleosporiaceae. The record is from RNAcentral.
GAACACAGUGAAAUGUGAUAAGUAAUGUGAAUUGCAGAAUUCAGUGAAUCAUCAAAUCUUUGAACGCACCUUGCACCUUUUGGAUAUUCCGAAAGGUACACCUGUUUGAGUGUCAUGA